Molecule: long non-coding RNA, 1105 nt
Filed under: Nicotiana benthamiana
Lineage: Eukaryota; Viridiplantae; Streptophyta; Magnoliopsida; Solanales; Solanaceae
Description: long non-coding RNA (NBEN_LNC022951)
Source: RNAcentral
CGUUAGACGGGUUUACUCUAAGAUGAUCGAUCGUCAAUUACAGGCUUAAAUAAAAGUAUCUCCCAUUUAGGAACAAUAUUGGCAGCAUGAAAUUUGUCUCCAACCGAAGAGAAACUAUGAGCCCGUUGUGGACUCUCUGAAACUGUUACUAAAUCCCACAUUGUUACCAAAUUCCACUUGAAAGAAAUGAGAUUAUCACGGAUAUACACGUUAAGAAUAUUAACCAAAAUUUGCCAGAAUUUCCCAGGAAUACAUAUUGAAUUAAAAGAAUAAUAUGCAUUAAGAAAAAGUGUAUACAGAGGAUCUCUGAUCUAAAACACUGUCAUUGCAGUUGUAUAAUUGACCUUUUUGACAAAACUGCAAUUUCUUCCAAGAACUAGAAAACUUCCUAUAUCAGAUUCUGUAAGAUUACUGUCGCUAGUACAUUUGCAAUUUCCUCCAAGCGUUAAACUUCACAAGAUCAAAACAUACACGCACCCUUAUUGUCGUAAGACGGAAUUCUACCUAUGAGCUCACAUCACAUCCAUGGUUUUAUGAUAGCAUGAAUAUGAAGAUACACCUCACAUUAAGCAACUCUUUAUUCAAAAUAAGUUGUAGUAUUUAACUGCUAACAAUUGAGUAUAUAGCAUACACAACCACACAGUAUAACCCCACUUCGAUCAAGAAGAUAUAUGAAUUCAAAACAAAGAUAUGUUGCAAUUUUUCUAUUUACUACAUAUGCCAAAUAAAAAAAUGCACAAACACUAGAGAUAACUUGGCAUAAAAUCUUAAGGAGCCAAUACAACUCUAUCGUGAAUCAGAUGCCAUGUUAUAAAUCAAUUCUGAUGGGGAAAACAGUUUUAUAGAGCUGAAUCCCUGAUCAUUGAUUAUGGAUCCACUUCUUGUAUAACUCAAUAUAGUAAACCAAAAGAAGAAAAGAAAGUUGCAGGAGACACCAAAAUUGUUCUUCUACUAUCAGAAUGCUGAUCUUUACCUUUUAGAGCAGAGUUGAUUGAACAUAGGUGCCAACAACGGCAUGACCGGAUUUAAGAUUGCUGUCAAGAUAAAGUUGUAACUUGACAUAGCCGUCGGGUUUUUUUUUUUUUUUUGGGGGGGGGGGGGGGGG